UCGGUGGCUCAGUGGUAGAGCACUUGCCUUGCAUGCCUGAGGCCAUGGGUUCAAAUCCCAAUUUCUGAA
Molecule: transfer RNA, 69 nt
Filed under: Dipodomys ordii (Ord's kangaroo rat)
Lineage: Eukaryota; Metazoa; Chordata; Mammalia; Rodentia; Heteromyidae
Rfam family: tRNA
About the family: Transfer RNA (tRNA) molecules are approximately 80 nucleotides in length. Their secondary structure includes four short double-helical elements and three loops (D, anti-codon, and T loops).
Source: Rfam by way of RNAcentral